Molecule: long non-coding RNA, 9201 nt
Filed under: Salmo salar (Atlantic salmon)
Lineage: Eukaryota; Metazoa; Chordata; Actinopteri; Salmoniformes; Salmonidae
Description: lncRNA (ENSSSAG00000102131.1)
Source: RNAcentral
CUCAUCUCACCACUAGAGGGGAGACUGCGAUUUAUCAACAACAUGUUGCAUGGUGUACUAAAGCAAAGAUUGUCUAUUAUAUUGACAAGAGAUUUGAGUGACCGCUCUAACAAUGGAAAUCCAUGUCCUCAAAGAUGGAAGGCAGGCGGUAGGAGACGAAAUCAGGUGGGACCAUUCUAGCCAAUAAGAGGGCAGAUAUACGUGUGAACAACAGGCCAUAGACAUAUAUGGAGGGCUCAUCAUUGUAUCUGUGCCAUUAUUGAGUACCACAUUAUGAGUCAUAAUACCCCAAAAACCUAUUGGUAACACCUGAAAUUGGUUCCAAUCGUUUUUCCACCCUUCAUUUUUGCAUUGGGGAUUUUAGAACGACUUCAUAUAAGGUGUUUGGUGUAGGCUCACCCCGACGUGACGUUUUGAUAAGGUCUGUGUUUGGUGUAGGCUCACCCUGGUACGACGUUUUAAUAACCGCACAAAUCUCUCUCAGACAAGGUAACUUUAAAAAAAAAGAUUUGCCUGUAAUUCACCCCCGCCCAAAAAAAGAAAUGCUAAUUAGUUGCUAAUGUGAAGAAUACAGAACUACCAGCUGUGGAAAAAAUACCCAAUUGUCAUACGAGUAAAAGUAAAGAUACCUUAAUAGAAAAUGAUUCAAGUAAAAGUGGAAGUCACACAUUAAAAUACUACUUGAGUAAAAGUAUUUGGUUUGAAAUAUACUUAAAUAUCAAAGUAAAUGUAAACUGCUAAAUUAUACUUAAGUAUCAAAAGUAAAAGUAUAAAUAAUUAAAAAUUCUUUAUAUUAAGCAAACCAGACGGCACCACCAAGGCAGUCAUUGUAAGUAAGAAUUUGUUCUUACAAACAGAGCAUCUGUUUAGUGAGUUCUCCAGAUCAGAGGCAGUAGGGAUGACCAGGGAUGUUCUCUGUUUAGUGAGUCCUCCAGAUCAGAGGCAGUAGGGAUGACCAGGGAUGUUCUCUGUUUAGUGAGUCCUCCAGAUCAGAGGCAGUAGAGCUGACCAGGGAUAUUCUCUUGAUAAGUGUGUGAAUUUGACAAUUUUCCCAUCCUGCUAAGCAUUGAAAAUGUAAUGAGUACUUUUGGGUGUCAGGGAAAAUGUAUGGAGUAAAAAGUACAAUAUUUUCUUUAGAAGUAAAAGUUGUCAAAAAUAUAAAUAGUAAAGUAAAAUAUAGAUACCCCAAAAACGACUUAAGUAGUACUUUAAAGUAUUUUUACUAAAGUACUUUACACCACUGAGGACUACACAUUUUGUCGCAAGCUUUUUACUUCAUCCCUCAAGGCAAAUGUCUCCAUACAAACUCAUUAAGUACCCUAGCAAGUAGUGUAGAUAUUAUAGCCUUUUUUAGUUUCUCAUGUGUAUUCUUGUUUAGCAUUUUUCAAAUUACCUAGCUAGCUAACUUAGCAUUUUUUUAAAAUGACUAUAUAAUUUUUUUCCAUUAACCUCUGCCUUUGUAGCGAACUAGCUAACCUUAGGUCUCUCUGCGUACAUCAGAAGCAAGGACGGUAUUUUCAAUGACAUCAUGUUUGGUAUGAAAGAGCAACCGACUGAAGAAGCAGGAUGACUCCAAGAGAACACUAACCUCAUAUAGUCUAUGAAGUCUGUUUCUGAAGAGGACACUAACCUCAUACAGUCUAUGAAGUCUGUUUCUGAAGAGGACCGCUAACCUCAUACAGUCUAUGAAGUCUGUUUCUGAAGAGGACCGUUAACCUCAUAUAGUCUAUGAAGUCUGUUUCUGAAGAGGACACUAACCUCAUACAGUCUAUGAAGUCUGUUUCUGAAGAGGACCGCUAACCUCAUAUAGUCUAUGAAGUCUGUUUCUGAAGAGGACACUAACCUCAUAUAGUCUAUGAAGUCUGUUUCUGAAGAGGCCUGUUAUAUUCAUACAGUCUGUAAUAUCUCUGUUAUAUUCAUACAGCCUGUAAUAUCUCUGUUAUAUUCAUACAGUCUAUAAUAUCUGUGUUAUAUUCAUACAGUCUGUAAUAUCUCUGUUAUAUUCAUACAGUCUGUAAUAUCUCUGUUAUAUUCAUACAGUCUUUAAUAUCUCUGCUGACUGUGAGACCUGCCUUGUUCUUCAGAGAGAUGAAUAUUCCAGUGAUCUGAGCGUUGUACAAGGGGUCUCCUUGUUCCUCCCUGUUCCAACACAGUGGAGAGGAGACAGAGGAGCGGUCCCAGUGGAACUCAGUGGGUGUCCUGCCCCCACGCUCCUUUACAACACAUGGGGAUUGAGACGUAAGUCAUUGAAGAAAGAAAGAUGCAGUGAGUCCGUUCAUGAUGUGCCAGCGAGGCUUUGUGGUAGUGCUGUCAUUGUUCUCUGUCUGUCCAGAGGUGCUGUAUCUGGGCCGUAUCUGAGCCGUAUCUGGGCCCUAACUGGGCCGUAUCUGGGCCGUAUCUGUGCCCUGACUGGGCCGUAUCUGGGCCGUAUCUGGGCCCUAACUGGUCCGUAUCUGGGCCGUAUCUGGGCCCUGACUGGGCUGUAUCUGGGCCGUAUCUGGGCCAUAUCUGGGCCCUGACUAGGCCGUAUCUGGGCUGUAACUGGCCCUUCCAGACCAAACACUUCUCUUUCCUUUCUCCUCAUAAUGGACAUCAAACUUGGCCAGCUGCAAAGUCCGAAUUGGCUAUAUUGUAGAUAUUAGAGAAAACAAAAAUGUGAGGUUGCUAACCCAGUGUGGACAGGUUGGCCAUUAAGGUUAGCAGUGUGGACAGGUUAGCAGUGUGGACAGGUUAGCAGUGUGGACAGGUUGGGCAUUAAGGUUAGCAGUGUGGACAGGUUAGCAGUGUGGACAGGUUAGGCAUUAAGGUUGGCAGUGUGGACAGGUUAGGCAUUAAGGUUAGCAGUGUGGACAGGUUAGGCAUUAAGGUUAGCAGUGUGGACAGGUUAGCAGUGUGGACAGGUUAGGCAUUAAGGUUGGCAGUGUGGACAGGUUAGCAGUGUGGACAGGUUAGCAGUGUGGACAGGUUGGGCAUUAAGGUUAGCAGUGUGGACAGGUUAGCAGUGUGGACAGGUUAGGCAUUAAGGUUGGCAGUGUGGACAGGAUUACAGUGUGGACAGGUUAGGCAUUAAGGUUGGCAGUGUGGACAGGUUAGCAGUGUGGACAGGUUAGCAGUGUGGACAGGAUAGCAGUGUGGACAGGUUGGCAUUAAGGUUAGCAGUGUGGACAGGUUAGCAGUGUGGACAGGUUAACAGUGUGGGCAGGUUGGGCGUUAAGGUUAGCAGUGUGGACAGGUUAGCAGUGUGGACAGGUUAGCAGUGUGGACAGGUUAGCAGUGUGGACAGGUUGGGCAUUAAGGUUAGCAGUGUGGACAGGUUAGCAGUGUGGACAGGUUAACAGUGUGGGCAGGUUGGGCAUUAAGGUUAGCAGUGUGGACAGGUUAGCAGUGUGGACAGGUUGGGCAUUAAGGUUAGCAGUGUGGACAGGUUAGCAGUGUGGACAGGUUAGCAGUGUGGACAGGUUGGCAUUAAGGUUAGCAGUAUGGACAGGUUAGCAGUGUGGACAGGUUGGGCAUUAAGGUUAGCAGUGUGGACAGGUUAGCAGUGUGGACAGGUUGGGCAUUAAGGUUAGCAGUGUGGACAGGUUAGCAGUGUGGACAGGUUGGCAUUAAGGUUAGCAGUGUGGACAGGUUAGCAGUGUGCACAGGUUAGCAGUGUGGACAGGUUAGCAGUGUGGACAGGUUAGCAGUGUGGACAGGUUGGGCAUUAAGGUUAGCAGUGUGGACAGGUUAGCAGUGUGGACAGGUUGGGCAUUAAGGUUAGCAGUGUGGACAGGUUAGCAGUGUGCACAGGUUAGCAGUGUGGACAGGUUAGCAGUGUGGACAGGUUAGCAGUGUGGACAGGUUUGGCAUUAAGGUUAGCAGUGUGGACAGGUUAGCAGUGUGGACAGGUUGGGCAUUAAGGUUAGCAGUGUGGACAGGUUAGCAGUGUGCACAGGUUAGCAGUGUGGACAGGUUAGCAGUGUGGACAGGUUAGCAGUGUGGACAGGUUGGGCAUUAAGGUUAGCAGUGUGGACAGGUUAGCAGUGUGGACAGGUUGGGCAUUAAGGUUAGCAGUGUGGACAGGUUAGCAGUGUGGACAGGUUGGGCAUUAAGGUUAGCAGUGUGGACAGGUUAGCAGUGUGGCCAGGUUAGCAGUGUGGACAGGGUUAACAGUGUGGACAGGUUAGCAGUGUGGACAGGUUAGGCAUAAGGUUAGCAGUGUGGACAGGUUGGGCAUUAAGGUUAGCAGUGUGGGCAGGGUUAACAUCCUAUUUCAUGUCUUUGUGGCUGUGCCGGCUAGUGACCACUCUGCAGAUCUGCCUCCAGAACAACAUUCACGACGAAAAUCUCUAACCUGCAUCGAACUCUCUGAGGUCCCUUCAUAGUGCACUUCUUUAGACCAGGGCUCUGUGCACUUUCUAGGGAAUAGGAUUCCAUUAGGUAUACAAACCACUUCAUCUGAUUCCUCUGACGUGACUACAGUCUUCCUGAUUCCUCUGAUGUGACUACAGUCUGUUCCUGAUUCCUCUGACGUGACUACAGUCUGGUCCUGAUUCCUCUGACGUGACUACAGUCUGUUCCUGAUUCCUCUGACGUGACUACAGUCUGUUCCUGAUUGCUCUGACGUGACUACAGUCUGUUCCUGAUUCCUCUGACGUGACUACAGUCUGUUCCUGAUUCCUCUGACGUGACUACAGUCUGUUCCUGAUUCCUCUGACGUGACUACAGUCUGUUCCUGAUUACUUUGAUGUGACUACAGUCUGUUCCUGAUUCCUCUGAUGUGACUACAGUCUGUUCCUGAUUCCUCUGACGUGACUACAGUCUGUUCCUGAUUCCUCUGACGUGACUACAGUUUGUUCCUGAUUCCUCUGACGUGACUACAGUCUGUUCCUGAUUCCUCUGAUGUGACUACAGUCUGUGCCUGAUUCCUCUGAUGUGACCACAGUGGUUUCCUGAUUCCUCUGACGUGACUACAGUCUGUUCCUGAUUCCUCUGACGUGACUACAGUCUGUUCCUGAUUCCUCUGACGUGACUACAGUCUGUUCCUGAUUCCUCUGAUGUGACUACAGUUUGUUCCUGCUGCUCCUACAACCAAAGGUCCAGAUUAUAGAAAUAUAACAGCUUUUGUAUUUCUAUGUUCCAGAUCCUCUGUUAUAGUUAGCAGCCAGUCAGGAUGUGAAUAAUAAAUCUGUGUUUAGGUCUUGGUCGUGGAUGUAUUCUGUUUGAUUUGUGGCUGUGCCGGCUAGUGACCACUCUGCAGAUCUGCCUCCAGAACAACAUUCACGACGAAAAUCUCUAACCUGCAUCGAACUCUCUGAGGUCCCUUCAUAGUGCACUUCUUUAGACCAGGGCUCUGUGCACUUUCUAGGGAAUAGGAUUCCAUUAGGUAUACAAACCACUUCAUCUGAUUCCUCUGACGUGACUACAGUCUUCCUGAUUCCUCUGAUGUGACUACAGUCUGUUCCUGAUUCCUCUGACGUGACUACAGUCUGGUCCUGAUUCCUCUGACGUGACUACAGUCUGUUCCUGAUUCCUCUGACGUGACUACAGUCUGUUCCUGAUUGCUCUGACGUAACUACAGUCUGUUCCUGAUUCCUCUGACGUGACUACAGUCUGUUCCUGAUUUCUCUGACGUGACUACAGUCUGUUCCUGAUUCCUCUGACGUGACUACAGUCUGUUCCUGAUUACUUUGAUGUGACUACAGUCUGUUCCUGAUUCCUCUGAUGUGACUACAGUCUGUUCCUGAUUCCUCUGAUGUGACUACAGUCUGUUCCUGAUUCCUCUGACGUGACUACAGUCUGUUCCUGAUUCCUCUGACGUGACUACAGUUUGUUCCUGAUUCCUCUGACGUGACUACAGUCUGUUCCUGAUUGCUCUGAUGUGACUACAGUCUGUGCCUGAUUCCUCUGAUGUGACCACAGUGGUUUCCUGAUUCCUCUGACGUGACUACAGUCUGUUCCUGAUUCCUCUGACGUGACUACGGUCUGUUCCUGAUUCCUCUGACGUGACUACAGUCUGUUCCUGAUUCCUCUGAUGUGACUACAGUUUGUUCCUGCUGCUCCUACAACCAAAGGUCCAGAUUAUAGAAAUAUAACAGCUUUUGUAUUUCUAUGUUCCAGAUCCUCUGUUAUAGUUAGCAGCCAGUCAGGAUGUGAAUAAUAAAUCUGUGUUUAGGUCUUGGUCGUGGAUGUAUUCUGUUUGAUAUCAUGGUGAAUAAAAAACCCACUCAGCUACGUUUCUAUCCCAAGCUGUCAGGUCUUCCUCUAUGUCUUCCUCACACCUCCAGAAUGUCACUGCUCCUUUAUCCCAGCUGUCUGUCUGUCAGGACGUGUCAGGAAGUCAGUCCCCCAGCUGAACAGAACUAUUAGGAUGGUGAAAAUACAGCGGAAUGUGAGUGUAGGAGGAAGGCCUGUGUCUUUUACCUGCAUGAAGGCUUAAAAAGCUGAAAGGUUGUGACGAGCCAGCUUCUCUCCCAGGCUCUAUCCCUCUAGGAGGCCGUCGGGACAGGGAUCGACUGCCCACACUCUCCUCCGGGCCCCUCUCUGCCCCUCUUCAACACAACUCAUUGUUCCCCCUCUCUUCUUCUCCAUUCUGCAAGCUGCAGCGUUUUCCAUCCUAGGCAGAACAGAGCAGGUUCCUGUGUGUGUGUGUGUGUGUGUGUGUGUGUGUGUGUGUGUGUGUGUGUGUGUGUGUGUGUGUGUGUGUGUGUGUGUGUGUGUGUGUGUGUGUGUGGGGGAAAGCCCACAAAGCCUCACCCACACAGUCGGGCCCUCUAAAGGCAGAAAGAGACUAGUGGGAGCUCUGGCCGCCCCUGGGGGACAAAUGUGCUUAUUAACAAGUAUAUCUUUCUUAUAGCGACACAUGUUAAGCAAUCAGACUACUCCUUCCAUCUAGUGCUGUCCGGUGUCCCCAUCCACUCACAGUUUACACAGCUUUCCCCCUGGUGUCCCCAUCCACUCACAGUUUACACAGCUUUCCCCUGGUGUCCCCAUCCACUCACAGUUUACACAGGUUUUCCCCUGGUGUCCCCAUCCACUCACAGUUUACACAGCUUUCCCCCUGGUGUCCCCAUCCACUCACAGUUUACACAGCUUUCCCCCUGGUGUCCCCAUCCACUCACAGUUUACACAGCUUUCCCCCUGGUGUCCCAUCCACUCACAGACCCAUGUCAUGGUGGAGCAGCAUCUCCACACCAAACCCCCCUAAGGACCCAUGUCAUGGUGGAGCAGCAUCUCCAUACCAAACCCCCUAAGGACCCAUGUCAUGGUGGAGCAGCAUCUCCACACCAACCCCCCUAAGGACCCAUGUCAUGGUGGAGCAGCAUCUCCACACCAAACCCCCUAAGGACCCAUGUCAUGGUGGAGCAGCAUCUCCACACCAACCCCCUAAGGACCCAUGUCAUGGUGGAGCAGCAUCUCCACACCAAACCCCCUAAGGACCCAUGUCAUGGUGGAGCAAGAUAUCCACACCAAACCCCCCUAAGGACCCAUGUCAUGGUGGAGCAAGAUCUCCACACCAAACCCCCCUAAGGACCCAUGUCAUGGUGGAGCAGCAUCUCCACACCAACCCCCUAAGGACCCAUGUCAUGGUGGAGCAGCAUCUCCACACCAAACCCCCUAAGGAACCAUGUCAUGGUGGAGCAGCAUCUCAACACCAAACCCCCCUAAGGACCCAUGUCAUGGUGGAGCAGCAUCUCCACACCAAACCCCCCUAAGGACCCAUGUCAUGGUGGAGCAUCAUCUCCACACCAAACCCCCUAAGGACCCAUGUCAUGGUGGAGCAGCAUCUCCACACCAAACCCCCCUAAGGACCCAUGUCAUGGUGGAGCAGACAGACAGACAGAGAGAUGUUGGUGGACAGAUAUUUAACGAUAGAUGUGAACUCACAGGCCAAAGUUUCCUCAACUUUAAAACAGCGAGAUCUCCACAAACACCAAAAUGUCAAAAAAACGUCUCUUCACAACAAGAGUAUUGUUUGGCCGGAGGGGGGUGAAGUCAGAGAGACAUGGUCGAGUUGCCUCGACACCAGCCUCCGUCGCGUCUGUCCCCCAUCCUUAUGAAUGUCACAUGGCUUCUCCUUCUCUACUGAUGAGUGUGAGGGUCUUAACGUGGUGGAACAGAGGGUCUUAACGUGGUGGAACAGAGGGUCUUAACGUGGUGGAACAGAUGGUCUCAACGUGGUGGAACAGAGGGUCUCAACGUGGUAGAACAGAGGGUCUCAACGUGGUGGAACAGAGGGUCUCAACGUGGUGGAACAGAGGGUCUUAACGUGGUGGAACAGAGGGUCUUAACGUGGUGGAACAGAGGGUCUCAACGUGGUGGAACAGAGGGUCUUAACGUGGUGGAACAGAGGGUCUUAACGUGGUGGAACAGAGGGUCUUAACGUGGCGGAACAGAGUAACAUGGUGGAACAGAGGGUCUCAACGUGGUGGAACAGAGGAUCUUAACGUGGUGGAACAGAGGGUCUUAACGGGGUGGAACAGAGGGUCUUAACGUGGUGGAACAGAGGGUCUUAACGUGGUGGAACAGAGGGUCUUAACGUGGUGGAACAGAGGGUCUCAACGUGGCGGAACAGAGGGUCUCAACGUGGUGGAACAGAGGGUCUCAACGUGGUGGAACAGAGGGUCUCAACGUGGUGGAACAGAGGGUCUCAACGUGGUGGAGCAGGCUUCCCAAAUGGCACCCUAUUCCCUAUAUAAUGCAGUACUUUUGACCAGGACCCUUAGUCGAAAUUAGUGCCCUUUGUAGGGAAUAAGUGACCAGGGCCCCUGGUCAAAAGUAGUGCACUAUAUAGGGAAUAAGUUACCAUUUGGGACACAACCAGAGUAACAAAGACAGUAGCCAAACUCCCACUGUGAGGUGAGUGAUCUGGCAGUCUACCACUGUUGGGGUGAAUCCCCACCUUUAUUCCCUACAUAGUGCACGGUGGAAAGUAGUGCACUACAUAGGGAGCCGGUUUGAAGUGUAACCCCCAUGAGUGGAAGUAUUCUUGACUUCCUGCCGUAAGACCUUCCUACGUGGGCUGAUCCGAAAAGCUUCAAUAAAAAAAACCCACUGAUAAAGAAAUGUGUUUCCUGCCUUUUCAUCUUCCGUUCUAGUGUUAUUAGACGGCGGAGAGAGAGAGAGAGAGCUACUGUAUCGCCGUUGAUCUGUGUGAUUGUCGUGGACGAGCCGAAAACCUUUUUGAGUGGGUUGUACGGUUACACUGUUGUUCCCCCCCAC